GUUCUAAAUGAUUCUCCCUUAGAGAAAAGCACUUAAGACGACAAACUCAAAACCCAUCCUGAAGUCGCUGGACGUCUUCUCACUGGAGAGAGAGGCAUCUUCUACUGCUGGGCUGGAGUGAAGUGCAACCUGAAUCCCGGCUCAGCUUGGCAGGAGGCUGGGGGAAGUGGGGACCGUCAGAGCGGCAGCUGCUUGAGGCUGGUUUGUGUUGUUGUUGUUGAUUAUUGAAUGUAUCCAUUCCAAACAAUACUUGAGACUUCCUCCUCUCCCCCCCCCUUUUUUAUCACCUCCUUCCUUUGUUCUUCUGCACCCCCAUACUGCCCUCUUCUCUCCCUUCCUUUCUUUCAGUAAAUAUUUGAUGGAAGUCUGCGGUGUGCCUAUCAGGAUCUAUAUGAAAGUGAUACAACGGAAGCAGAGAAGGGGAGGCGGCAGACCCACUGGGGACCCCCAGCAGCCUGCCUGGAGCUGCCUCCUACUAACAGAAUCCUGGGUUUGUGCCAUUGUGGGCAGCAAACGUGCUCAGGGGAAUGUUUCCCCAGGGAAAAAGCAAAACGGAUCCGAAGCAACCUGGGUAACCCUGUGCCCACUGUCAAUCAUUACUUGGCUGCAGAGCGAGGAUCUAGGACCCAGUUUUGGUCAGUGGAGCCUGAGAGGAAAUGGUUGGGGGUUCUGGGUGUCUCUUUGCUAGGGAGAUGAGAGAUGUUCAAGAGAUAGGGGGAAGUGGGGAAGGUCCGAGCAGCCGCUUCCUCCCUUUCUUCCUUUGGGGCUGUCUAGAGAGGACAUGAUGCUUUAAUUUGCAGAGGUCAUCUAGGAACCGAAGGAGAAAGCUUGGCAAAGUGAAUAAGAGCCAUCUUGAGUCCUGGGAUCUCUGGAACUGCUGAAUUAACAACUCUAGAGCCACCUACCACCAGAUUCCUGUUUGUGGAACAAUGAAUUGUAUUUGUUGUUUGUGUUCCUUUUAGUUGGGCAUUCUAGUAUUUUGUGACCAAAGGCAUCUCAGCUGUUACAAGAGGGAGGAAAUAAACAGUUGUGCUUUUCUGUCAUCUGUGGCCCAGAGCAUCCUGGAAGUCAAGGCAAAAAAGGAAAUCAGAUAAAUUGAAAAGCUCUCAUUCUUAAUGAGGAAGAGCUCCUCAGGGAGUUUCAGCGUUUUGCUCCUAAAUUCCCUGUUUGACACUAAAUUUCUACAUGGGAGUUUAUGAAAAGAAUGCUGAGAAACAUGAUUGCUAGAUCCAGGAUAACUGUUUCACAGGAAAAAGCAGUUUUUACAGCCUCUUUCUUAAGACAAUUUUCUUAGGAUCUAAAUAUAAAGGGAGACUCUAACCAGAGAAGCAGAGAGUGGGGUGAAAGCUGCUCCAUGCCAUCUGCACCCCACCCGGAUGGUCACAUCUACCCCCCGAAGGGAGUUCGGGGUAGUCCUUGUAUCUUUUCUGUAGGA
This 1435-nucleotide long non-coding RNA is filed under the name Marmota monax (woodchuck). The record is from RNAcentral. Lineage: Eukaryota; Metazoa; Chordata; Mammalia; Rodentia; Sciuridae.